AUUGAACGCUGGCGGCAUGCCUUACACAUGCAAGUCGAACGGUAACAGGUCUUCGGAUGCUGACGAGUGGCGAACGGGUGAGUAAUACAUCGAAACGUGCCUAGUAGUGGGGGAUAACUACUCGAAAGAGUGGCUAAUACCGCAUGAGAUCUACGGAUGAAAGCAGGGGAUCGCAAGACCUUGUGCUACUAGAGCGGCCGAUGGCAGAUUAGGUAGUUGGUGGGAUAAAAGCUACCAAGCCGACGAUCUGUAGCUGGUCUGAGAGGACGAUCAGCCACACUGGGACUGAGACACGGCCCAGACUCCUACGGGAGGCAGCAGUGGGGAAUUUUGGACAAUGGGCGAAAGCCUGAUCCAGCAAUGCCGCGUGCAUGAUGAAGGCCUUCGGGUUGUAAACUGCUUUUGUACGGAACGUAAAGCCCCGGGUUAAUACCCUGGGGUCAUGACGGUACCGUAAGAAUAAGCACCGGCUAACUACGUGCCAGCGGCCGCCGUAA
RNAcentral lists this ribosomal RNA (497 nucleotides) under uncultured bacterium. Its description in RNAcentral is "partial 16S ribosomal RNA". It matches the Rfam family "Bacterial small subunit ribosomal RNA", at positions 30 to 523 of the family's 1533-position model. The record is from RNAcentral.